GCGCCUGUAGCUCAGCUGGAUAGAGCGUCGGCCUCCGAAGCCGAAGGUCGCAGGUUCGAAUCCUGCCGGGCGCACCA
This 77-nucleotide transfer RNA is filed under the name Gammaproteobacteria bacterium 2W06. RNAcentral describes it as "tRNA-Arg". It matches the Rfam family "tRNA". Rfam says of the family: Transfer RNA (tRNA) molecules are approximately 80 nucleotides in length. RNAcentral also lists the same sequence under 3 other names. Lineage: Bacteria; Pseudomonadati; Pseudomonadota; Gammaproteobacteria. The record is from RNAcentral.